Molecule: transfer RNA, 72 nt
Filed under: Dictyocaulus viviparus (bovine lungworm)
Lineage: Eukaryota; Metazoa; Nematoda; Chromadorea; Rhabditida; Metastrongylidae
Rfam family: tRNA
About the family: Transfer RNA (tRNA) molecules are approximately 80 nucleotides in length. Their secondary structure includes four short double-helical elements and three loops (D, anti-codon, and T loops). Further hydrogen bonds mediate the characteristic L-shaped molecular structure. tRNAs have two regions of fundamental functional importance: the anti-codon, which is responsible for specific mRNA codon recognition, and the 3' end, to which the tRNAs corresponding amino acid is attached (by aminoacyl-tRNA synthetases). tRNAs cope with the degeneracy of the genetic code in two manners: having more than one tRNA (with a specific anti-codon) for a particular amino acid; and 'wobble' base-pairing, i.e. permitting non-standard base-pairing at the 3rd anti-codon position.
Source: Rfam by way of RNAcentral
ACCUUAGUAGUGCAUCAGGUAGCACACCAGGUCGGAAAUCUUUGCAUGCGGGUUGGAGUCUUGCCUGAGGUC